AGUGAACGCUGGCGGUAGGCCUAACACAUGCAAGUCGAACGGCAGCACAGUAAGAGCUUGCUCUUACGGGUGGCGAGUGGCGGACGGGUGAGGAAUACAUCGGAAUCUACUUUUUCGUGGGGGAUAACGUAGGGAAACUUACGCUAAUACCGCAUACGACCUACGGGUGAAAGCAGGGGAUCUUCGGACCUUGCGCGAUUGAAUGAGCCGAUGUCGGAUUAGCUAGUUGGCGGGGUAAAGGCCCACCAAGGCGACGAUCCGUAGCUGGUCUGAGAGGAUGAUCAGCCACACUGGAACUGAGCCACGGUCCAGACGCCUACGGGAGGCAGCAGUGGGGAAUAUUGGACAAUGGGCGGAAGCCUGAUCCAGCCAUACCGCGUGGGUGAAGAAGGCCUUCGGGUUGGAAAGCCCUUUUGUUGGGAAAGAAAAGCAGCAGGUUAAUACCCCGCUGUUCUGACGGUACCCAAAGAAUAAGCACCGGCUAACUUCGUG
This 492-nucleotide ribosomal RNA is filed under the name uncultured bacterium. RNAcentral describes it as "partial 16S ribosomal RNA". It matches the Rfam family "Bacterial small subunit ribosomal RNA", at positions 29 to 507 of the family's 1533-position model. The record is from RNAcentral.